This 445-nucleotide ribosomal RNA is filed under the name uncultured bacterium. RNAcentral describes it as "partial 16S ribosomal RNA". It matches the Rfam family "Bacterial small subunit ribosomal RNA", at positions 354 to 796 of the family's 1533-position model. The record is from RNAcentral.
GUAAGGAAUAUUGGACAAUGGACGCAAGUCUGAUCCAGCCAUGCCGCGUGAAGGAUUAAGGUCCUCUGGAUUGUAAACUUCUUUUAUAAGGGACGAAAAAAGGCUUUUCUAAGUCGUCUGACGGUACCUUAUGAAUAAGCACCGGCUAACUCCGUGCCAGCAGCCGCGGAAAUACGGAGGGUGCAAGCGUUAUCCGGAUUCACUGGGUUUAAAGGGUGCGUAGGCGGGCAGGUAAGUCAGUGGUGAAAUCCUAGAGCUUAACUCUAGAACUGCCAUUGAUACUAUCUGUCUUGAAUAUUGUGGAGGUAAGCGGAAUAUGUCAUGUAGCGGUGAAAUGCUUAGAUAUGACAUAGAACACCUAUUGCGAAGGCAGCUUACUACGCAUAUAUUGACGCUGAGGCACGAAAGCGUGGGGAUCAAACAGGAUUAGAAACCCCUGUAGUCC